Molecule: ribosomal RNA, 112 nt
Filed under: Bacteroidales bacterium
Lineage: Bacteria; Pseudomonadati; Bacteroidota; Bacteroidia; Bacteroidales
Source: RNAcentral
UAUGGUGACUUUUGCGGUGGUGUUCACCUCUUCCCAUUCCGAACAGAGAAGUUAAGCCCACCCGCGCAGAUGAUACUCGAUUUAGUUCCGGGAAAGUAUGUCGUCGCCAAAU